Molecule: unclassified non-coding RNA, 333 nt
Filed under: soil metagenome
Description: partial contains 5.8S ribosomal RNA, internal transcribed spacer 2, and large subunit ribosomal RNA
Rfam family: 5.8S ribosomal RNA (bases 1-120)
Source: RNAcentral
GAUGAAGAACGUAGCGAAAUGCGAUAAGUAAUGUGAAUUGCAGAAUUCAGUGAAUCAUCGAAUCUUUGAACGCACAUUGCGCCCGCCAGUAUUCUGGCGGGCAUGCCUGUUCGAGCGUCAUUUCAACCAUCAAGCCCCGGGCUUGUGUUGGGGACCUGCGGCUGCCGCAGGCCCUGAAAUGCAGUGGCGGGCUCGCUGUCACUCCGAGCGUAGUAAUACAUCUCGCUCUGGACGUGCUGCGGGCUCCGGCCGUUAAAAGCCUUAUUUACCCAAGGUUGACCUCGGAUCAGGUAGGAAGACCCGCUGAACUUAAGCAUAUCAAUAAGCGGAGGA